Molecule: small nucleolar RNA, 90 nt
Filed under: Notechis scutatus (mainland tiger snake)
Lineage: Eukaryota; Metazoa; Chordata; Lepidosauria; Squamata; Elapidae
Source: RNAcentral
GGGUCCAUCCUAAUUCUCACAGGCUUAUACUGUUACCUGAUGGGUUUCGCUGGUGGACUACAUCAACUUAGAGGAACCCUCUUAAAAACA